AUUGAACGCUGGCGGCAUGCUUUACACAUGCAAGUCGAACGGUAACAGGUCUUCGGAUGCUGACGAGUGGCGAACGGGUGAGUAAUACAUCGGAACGUGCCUAAUAGUGGGGGAUAACUACUCGAAAGAGUAGCUAAUACCGCAUGAGAUCCACGGAUGAAAGCAGGGGACCUUCGGGCCUUGUGCUACUAGAGCGGCUGAUGGCAGAUUAGGUAGUUGGUGGGGUAAAGGCUUACCAAGCCUGCGAUCUGUAGCUGGUCUGAGAGGACGACCAGCCACACUGGGACUGAGACACGGCCCAGACUCCUACGGGAGGCAGCAGUGGGGAAUUUUGGACAAUGGGCGAAAGCCUGAUCCAGCAAUGCCGCGUGCAGGAUGAAGGCCCUCGGGUUGUAAACUGCUUUUGUACGGAACGAAAAGCCUGGGGCUAAUAUCCCCGGGUCAUGACGGUACCGUAAGAAUAAGCACCGGCUAACUACGUGCCAGCCGCCGCCGUAA
This 498-nucleotide ribosomal RNA is filed under the name uncultured bacterium. RNAcentral's name for it is "partial 16S ribosomal RNA". It matches the Rfam family "Bacterial small subunit ribosomal RNA", at positions 30 to 523 of the family's 1533-position model. The record is from RNAcentral.